GGCCUGUGCGUCCCCAGCAGGCGGGUGGCCCUGUGGUGGGUCCACUCGAGACGCCACCGGGGCGAGCGCCACGUGCUGUGUGUUACCAGCUUCCCGGUGAUACUAAUCCUCCAGGCCUGUUUCCAUGGGCGCUUCUGUCAGGGGGUGUUGUUCACAGCCGGGGGCAGGUGGUAUGGGGUGGGUGGCCGAUGGGCUUGCUGCAGCCCGAGGGAGCAAAGUUCUUCACAGCCUGCAGCAGUGCCAGCUUUGCCAGCGUACAUCCUGCACAGGAAUGAACACCCUUCCGGGUGCGACUGCUGAGACUGCCUGGGAGCGCCCUUUCAUGGGCAGCGGAGCUGGUGGCUGAGGAUUUGUAAGCCCUGCUGACCUGGGCCUAAAAGUCUCCGUAUCCUUUUCCCGGUCUGUUGCAUCAUCUGGUGGUUCCCAAACCCCGGGUGAAGAACACUGGGAUUGUGAUAUGAACUAGCAACUCCUUGAGAGUGUGUGAGAAACAGCUCGGUUGUGUAAAUGUGAUGUGUGUUGCAUCUACUCUGAAGCUGACUUCAUAUCCCCUCCUCCCACAUUACUGGUUUAGCCCCUGCCAGCCCAGAGAGCAGAGCUAUCAUACUCAUUGCACGUUUCAUUCUGUAUCUGUUCUGUGUGUGCCUCCUGCUCAGCAACUUUGCUGAAUCAGGCCUCAGGUUUGUGAAUGAGGGUAUGGUAGCUCUGCUCCUUGGGCUGGGAUAGAGGGUUGUUAACUGGCUGAUUUACCUUUGAUGUCACAAUCCCGCAAUGUUACCACCAACCAUGAGCUGUUGUGGGCAGGAGACCGGGGUUUGACAGGGAUGGUACUGAUCUUGCCUGUGCUAGGCUUAGGCUACCAGUUCAUAAGCAGACGUAGCACUGCUGCUUCUCUGAAAUCUUGUGGCACUGGCACCUGUAACUUACCCUCCCGAACGCAUGUUCUUCUCUUUAGCCCUCUUGCUCUCCUAUAAUUUCUCUGUUUCUUGUUCUCACUUUCUCCAUUUUUGUUACUCCAGAUAUCUUCUUCACCUCUCCCCUGCUGAGAUUCCAUUAUGACAUGAUGCUUUUAUAAUAAUAUCACAGGACACUGAAAAAUUUGCAGUUGAUUGUUUAGCUUUGGAUGGAGAUGAGUUACAGUCACCUUGUCUCAGGCGCAACGAAUGGAUGAGGGAUACCGUUUGAGGGUUCAAAGGAAGAGAAACAUUGAUUAGCAUUAUUGUGUGAGGCCACGGUUUUAUUGUCAGAUUCUCGUUAGUGUGUGAACUGCUGAGCCAGCUCCCUUUUCAGUAUUUGCCCCAUAGGCUGUUACUCACUGGGUUUACGUUGUCUUCAGUUUUUCUUUUCUAAGUCUAACUAAUUCCUUUUCUUAUCUGGGGUCUUGUGUUUGAUGCAUAUGGCCAAUUUAUGGCUAUUUAGGUUGUAAACUGUUGGGGAUAGGGCCCAUUAUUUCCUUGUAAGCAUGUACCAGCACAAUGAUUGCUGAUUGGGAUGCAAGGAAUAAUAAUAAUUCACUGAUCAAAGUCAGUCACCUUGGAAAGAUAAUUUAAUCUCAUUUAUAGGUAAGACCAACUCUGGUAUGCAUGCAGCUGUUUAUUAAAUGCUUAUAUGCUUUGCAUUAAUUUGGACCAUAGAGGUGCAAAGCCAGCCCUCGGUAGAGUGUUCUGGGCUAGCGUCCACGGAUGCCAGCUGGGAUGUGGCUAUAUCCAAACUCACGAGUCACAUGCAUGGCCAUUUAUAUAAGAGAAUCCAUUCAGGCUCUCCUGUGAGAUAUGGGAAAUGCCUCUCCCAGCUGAGACCAGCUUACCACCACUCCUUUGACCAGCUUGGCCAUGGGAAGUGAGUCCCAGCUGAGACUAGGACAGUGUGGUUUUUACUCAGCCAGAGGGGAGGUGACUCCCAGCCCAGCUUAGUACAGAAUGGGUCUUACUGGUUUGCUUUUGGGGCAGGCUGCCUUUGGUUCAUUCUAUACAACUGCGGUCUGAACUAUCUGUGGCCCAGUUUGAGUCUCAGUUGUGGUAAUAGGCACCGACUGUAUACAUGGCACAUCCAGUCCUGGAUGGAGGAGAUUGGCUAAUGUCCUUCUAUCAUCUGGCCCCAUUUGGCCAUGUUUUAAAAUAUCACCCUUUUGAUUCCAAUAAUCCUGUUAGAAAUAUCCCAGAACCUGGCACGGGGUGAUUAGCAAGUAGUCCAAAUGGCCAACUCCCAUGAAUCCCUGAGAUUCUGUGGCCCAGAUUUUUCCCGGUAGUAACCCUGUAAUGUCCAUGGAUUGACAGCAGAGAUUAAUUUGUAUCUGAGGCAGGACAAAGCCCAAUUGCUUCUGGGCUGCUCUUAUCAUGGCAGUAUCUUUGGGGAGAGCAGGACAGCUCCAUAGGAGGAUGUACCCACAGUUCUGGGAUUGUUGGGAGCUCAUUUCAUUGUAGAGAGUGCAAACGUUUGCUGUUCAAAAGUGGCUGCUUUUGGGAUGAUGCAGGCUCCUCCUACCAAGGGCCUUCCUUGGACAUCUUGUAAGGAACAGUCAGAGAAUAAAGAUCCUUAUCUCCUAUUCCUUCUUACCUCUUGGAGGCUCUUGCUCUUUGUUCUUUAGGAAGGGACCAAGGCAGUGAUGCACCUAAGUCUGAUAUCAUGUCUCUUCCUUUACAGGGGAAAAUGGCAGCCACUGGCCAGUUGUUAAUCCCAGCCCGGCUCACAGGGAUUCCCUUCCUAAAGGCCUCACAUUUUCAGAUAGGGUUUGACCAUAGACCACAGGGAAACGUUGUUGAAUCUCCUUUCCGCACUGAUUUCCCUCCCUUAUGGGGCAGUUACAAACCAGACCCAAUUCUGCUUCCAAACUCCAAGGAGGUUUUGAAUCAGGAUAUGGAUAAAGCCAGGGAAAACUGGUCAGAAACCCACCUGGCAUUUCCGGUGAGAUCCCUGGAACCAAAGCCCAAAAUCUGUCCGCCAGAAUCUCACCUCCAAAUGCAUGCAGAUUCCCAGACCAAAAUUUUCACCUCAACUGCAAGGGGGAGCUACCCUUGGCCAGACGUGAUGCUGCAGGGACCAGCCUCCACUAGAGCUUAUUACAAUAAGGAGGAAGAUCAUUUUCCUUGUGGAGACAAAGACAAACUAAAGCUCCUGCCUUCUGUCUAUCGUUUUUCAUACCCAGCGUAUGAGAUACUCGAGCCCAUUGCCAGAGCGCCAUCUGUACAUCUGGGAGGAAUUCCCUCAAUUAAAGGUGACAGAUGCUCCUACUAUGGCACUUCUUAUCAAGCACAGUUUGAGGGUGGCUGGAUCCCUCCUGUGAAGUCCUCUAGAAAGAGCAAGUCUUCCAUUGUGUUUGGAGACCCCAGGAGCAGUGUCAGCACCAGCGAGGAGAAACAUGCCUACACUCUCCAGGACACAAGGAACCACAGAGUCUAUGAUAAAGAACAUGCUGUCUUCCAAAUACACAAGACGAACAUCAAGCCAGGGGAUGGUUGCACCAGAUUCUUUACCGUGGCACUGGAGUCGUUCCCUCGGCGGGAGCUAGCCCCUGUGAAAGUUACGUGUCUAAGCAAACAGAAUUCGUCGAUCCCCAAAGGCGACGAAGACCUUGAGAGGAGUAGGGAGCUUGCGACCACCACCACUAGCCGAUUCUUCCACACCCAGAUUGACCUGGGGAAAUGUCCAUCUCAGCCAGAUGUGUCACCGUGGAGACUACAAAGCAAAGUACCCCUGGGUGACAAGCAUUUAAACGCCUGUUUCUUCAGCACAACGCAGCACUCGGAUUAUCAGCCGCCACCCUAUGGCCAGAGGGAGGUGUCCAGCAGCAAGAGCCACCUCAAGAGCCACAUGCCCUUUAAUUAUCCCACAGGUAAAGAUGCUGUCACAACGACACAGGCUAUGCUGGUCCCGCACAGACAGUGGAUGGUCCGGCCCUCGGAGGAGUUGCUGCAGCAGAUUAAAUACUCUCACCUGGUCCCACCAUGGCAGGGGCAGCGCUUCUUUGGGACAGAGCAUCAAGAUGAGUUCACCCCCAAGUACAGUGGCCCUGUGACUAUCUGCGGGGGGAACUUUCAAGUGAGCAGUAUCCCCCUGGGCACCCUGAAGAAGUACUGCCCCCAGAGGCAGAUGGUCUUUGCAACAUAAAGUGCUGCCUUCCUAUGGGGGCUCUCAAUGCCACUCUCCAGGGGCUGCCUACAAAUAAACACAGGAGCAGGUGAUGGGAACCCAUGCGACUGCGAACAAACACUGGGAAAACAGCCCAAAGCUGCAGGGUGAUUCCCUUUGCCAGAAUCACAGGGACCACUAAAGAGCCUGGGCCCAUGUCUCCAAGUACCUCUUCCCCAGGCUGUGAGCUGGCAGGGACAGAGGGAUGUCACCUCUCCGCUGAGUUUAGAUAGAGAGCUCAAAGGCAGAAUGAGAGAUACCGUAAGCUCCAAGUGUGGCGUGGAGUCUCCCCUCAUGAGCACUGGCUGCAUUUCAGCACAAGGUUGGUGAACACGAGUGCAGAGAGGAACCCAAGGCUGAGGAGGUGGCAGGGCAGGGCUGUUCUCCAGGGUGGGGGCAGUGUCUUUGCUACUGGGGUUGUAGCUCACUGUUUUUGCCUGGAUGCUGAGUUUGCACUAAACCUUCUCAGCAUGAAGAUUUUAACGCAGAUGCGGUGCUGUACUCUAGGUCUCCUCCCUGGUGUGGAAGCAGAGUGAGGGGUCAGGUGCUGCCAUGCCAGGUCCCCGUCUCAUGCUCUUCCAUGGAUCUAUAAAAGCAACAUCAUAGAGAAAACAGACUGUGGUUUACUAAACCAUUGUGACCUACUGCAACUCUCAUGUGGACAAGACCCCCCCACAUUAAACAUCUUAAAGGUCUGGGAGAUUUUGAGGCUGCUCUGUUCCCAUCACCAGCUACAGACUCCUAGUAAAGCUCUGGUUUUAUGCCUGAAAAUGUGAAUUCCUAAGGAAUCCUGCAUCUCAUGGGACAAGACAGGGCUGGUGGUAUGAAACAGCCAGAACCUAGAUUUGUUAUGAAAAGCUAAGAUUAGCUGUCCUGAGGAUUCACGGGGGCAGUGGGCUAUGUAGGAAUGUUCUCUAGGGACAUUUACCUGCUUACACAGAAGAAGAGAGAGCACCAAGUGUUGCAAUUUCCUGGUUCGUUAACUGGUAUCUCAUGUUAAAAAUGAGGGUAAUAUCCAGGCUAUCUGGAUUGUAUGGUCCCUGAGGUCGGCCAAAUCCCAAGCUGGUAUAAAUCAUUUACACCACCUGGGGAGCUGACACACGUCCUUUACCUGGUUGUGAUGUAGCAUCCCCAUCUGUGCUGCUGUAGCAAUAAAUCCUCCUACCAAAUAAUCAUUAAUCCCCCCACACCUCUGAUCUGGCCCAGCUGGGCUGGAGAUUGAUGCAGGGCUUAUUGUGAGUGAGGGGCUGAGCUAACCCCCUGCUGCCGCUGGAGAGAUUUGCCAGCAUCCAGAAUAUGUCCCCACAGAGCUGGGUGAGGCUGGUGUCUGCGGAAGCAGUGUCCGGUGGGUACACCUGACCGUGGCUGGUGGUGGUUGCUAACCCACCGGGGUUUCUUACAUGCUGCU
Chelonoidis abingdonii (Abingdon island giant tortoise) is the source of this 5536-nucleotide non-coding RNA. The record is from RefSeq and is a predicted model, not a curated record. Lineage: Eukaryota; Metazoa; Chordata; Testudines; Testudinidae.